AUUGAACGCUGGCGGCAGGCCUAACACAUGCAAGUCUAGCGGAAACGAUCCUAGCUUGCUAGGAGGCGUCGAGCGGCGGACGGGUGAGUAAUGCAUAGGAAUCUGCCCGAUAGUGGGGGAUAACCUGGGGAAACUCAGGCUAAUACCGCAUACGUCCUACGGGAGAAAGCAGGGGAUCUUCGGACCUUGCGCUAUCGGAUGAGCCUAUGUCGGAUUAGCUUGUUGGUGAGGUAAUGGCUCACCAAGGCGACGAUCCGUAGCUGGUCUGAGAGGAUGAUCAGCCACAUCGGGACUGAGACACGGCCCGAACUCCUACGGGAGGCAGCAGUGGGGAAUAUUGGACAAUGGGCGAAAGCCUGAUCCAGCCAUGCCGCGUGUGUGAAGAAGGCUUUCGGGUUGUAAAGCACUUUCAGUGAGGAAGAAAGCCUUGGGGCUAAUACCCCCAAGGGACGACAUCACUCACAGAAGAAGCACCGGCUAACUCCGUGCCAGCAGCCGCGGUAAUACGGAGGGUGCGAGCGUUAAUCGGAAUUACUGGGCGUAAAGCGCGCGUAGGCGGCUUGAUAAGCCGGUUGUGAAAGCCCCGGGCUCAACCUGGGAACGGCAUCCGGAACUGUCAGGCUAGAGUGCAGGAGAGGAAGGUAGAAUUCCCGGUGUAGCGGUGAAAUGCGUAGAGAUCGGGAGGAAUACCAGUGGCGAAGGCGGCCUUCUGGACUGACACUGACGC
This 727-nucleotide ribosomal RNA is filed under the name Halomonas sp. Its description in RNAcentral is "bacterial SSU rRNA". It matches the Rfam family "Bacterial small subunit ribosomal RNA", at positions 28 to 746 of the family's 1533-position model. The record is from RNAcentral. Lineage: Bacteria; Pseudomonadati; Pseudomonadota; Gammaproteobacteria; Oceanospirillales; Halomonadaceae.